Molecule: ribosomal RNA, 346 nt
Filed under: uncultured eukaryote
Lineage: Eukaryota
Description: SSU rRNA
Rfam family: Eukaryotic small subunit ribosomal RNA
Source: RNAcentral
AUAGCGUAUAUUAAAGUUGUUGCAGUUAAAAAGCUCGUAGUUGAACUUCAGACCUGGCUGGGUGGUCGGCCUAACGGUAUGUACUGUCCGGCUGGGCCUUACCUCUUGGUGAGCCGGCAUGCCCUUCACUGGGUGUGUCGGGGAACCAGGACUUUUACCUUGAGAAAAUUAGAGUGUUCAAAGCAGGCCUAUGCCUGAAUACAUUAGCAUGGAAUAAUAAAAUAGGACGUGCGGUUCUAUUUUGUUGGUUUCUAGAGUCGCCGUAAUGAUUAAUAGGGAUAGUUGGGGGCAUUGGUAUUGAGUCGCUAGAGGUGAAAUUCUUGGAUUGACUCAAGACCAACUAUUG